UAAUGCGUUUCAGAGAUCUAUCCCAAUGUUCCAUUACAGCGAAGCUUCUUAUUGUGUUUUUUCUGUAACACCAAAUUUUGUUUUUCUAUAUUUCGAUCUGUUUCUGAUUCUAGGAGACUAGUUUUAUGCAGUACCUAAGUGCUUACAGCUAGAUGUGGAGGUUUAACAGCUACCACAGAGCCCCUUUAGUUGCUUUCAGAAUAUUCACAGUGUUUCAGAAAUACCUUACUUGGUUCUGACCAUGUUAGACUCAUUUCUUUUAUAAAGAAACCCAGAGAAAGUCAGACUGUUGGAGAGUAGAGGAGUGUGUCUGAGAUCUGAAACUCUAGGACUGUGAAACAUGUUCAGGACAUGGAGCAAGAAGAAGAAGAUAAAGGCUGUAUUCCAAUUGCAGUUUCAGGCAACAGAGGUGCCGAAAUUGAAGAAGCCUGGGUUGAUGAUAUCUCUGGUGCCCGACGACGUGGGGAAGCCGACGGUGAAACUGCCGAAGACUAAGGCUCAGGAUGGGACCUGCACAUGGGAGAAUCCAGUUUAUGAGUCAGUGAAGCUCGUGGAGGAGUCAAAAUCAGGGAAACUGAAAGAAAAGAUUUAUCACUUCAUUGUUUCCACUGGAACUUCGAAAUCUGGUUAUCUCGGAGAAGCUUCAAUUGAUUUUGCAGAUUUUGUGGCAGAAACUGAACCCUUGACUGUCACUCUGCCACUUAAAUUUGCAAAUUCUGGAGUAGUUUUACAUGUGACGAUUCUCAGGGUGCAGGAAGAUGGUGAUUAUAGAGAGAUUGAUGACAGUGAGGAUCCUAGUCUUUCACGCCAUAGCAGCGUGGACAUCCAGAACAGCAAUUGGGAUACAGAUGGAAGCAACCACCUAAGUUAUACUGAAAAUGGAGCUUUUGAUAGAACAAGUAAUGGUGCCAGUUCCGUGUCACCCCAAGUAAAAGACUCCAUGCCUCAAAAUGGAAAGGCCGGUACCACUGCAACAAAAUUAGCCUUGGAUUGGUCUUCAGAUGAAAGCUCAUUUGACUCACCAACUAGAGUUGAAGACAAGCCUCCAACGGAAAAAGUGAAAGAUGUUUCAGGUGAUUCCAUUGAGAAACUCAGAAAGGAAAAUGCAAUGCUGAUGAGGCAGGCGGAUACAUCAGAAUUGGAAUUACAGUCUCUCCGAAAGCAAGUCGCGAAAGAGAGCAGCCAAGGACAAAAUCUGUCAAGACAGAUAAUUAGCCUUGAAGAGGAGAGAGAUGCACUCAAAUUAGAAUGUCAACAAUUAAAGUCAUUGCGGGGACGUGGUGAGGAGGUACAUGCUUCCCAAAAAUUGCAGCCCGCGGACAAAGAUACAAGAGUGCAGUUAGAAGCAAUGAAGCAAGAGCUUAAUCGUGAAAAGAAGGUAAAAGCCAAUCUUCACUCACAACUGCAAACAACACAAGACUCGAAUUCUGAGUUAGUCCUUGUGGUGAAGGAUCUCGAAGAAUUGUUGGUGAAGAAAAAUAAGGAAAUAGCUGAUCUUUCAAACAAGUUAGAAACUGAAAAGAAUAGCAAAUUAAUGGGGAAAAUUUCCAUACACAAAACAGAUGUGGAUGCCCAGGAAGUAGAGUCAUUGAAGCAGAAGCUCCGAGAACUUUUGAGUGAAAUGGACACCUACGAGAAGGAGAGGGAAGAACAAGAUAUGCAUAUAAAACGGCUCUACCUUGGACUAUGACCUUUUGAAGAAGAAAAACAAUGACAUCUCUCUGAAGUUAGAUCGAAACCAAGAAAAGCUACGAACAGAGAUGGAAAAUGAGCGUGCAGGUUAUAUUGCGACCAUAAAAGAACUUGAAUCUCAAGUAAAUAGAUCAGAAGAAACAAUUGAGAAGCAAGCCCAUGAAUUCGCAGAAUGUUUGAUCUCAAUUCAGGAACUGGAAAAUGAGGUCAAGUGUUUGGAGAUGGAACUGGAGAAGCAGGCCAAGGGAUUUGAAGAUAAGCUGGAGGAUCUGGCACAUGCUAAAGAUGAGCAAGAACAGAGAGCAAACAAAGCAGAAGAAGCGUUGAGAAAGACAAGGGGGGAUAGUGCUGCUACAGCUGAGCGUCUACAAAAUGAAUUAAGAAAGCUUUCUAUGGAAAUGACAUCUAAGGUUGAUGAGAACGAGAAGCAGACCACUAAAGCACUGGCAGAAGCUAAUGACCUGCGUGUGCAGAACAGAAUUCUGGAAGAGAUGCUCCAGAAAUCCAAUGAACAGUUAGAACUGAUCAAGGGCCAGAUUGAUGCCAAAGCAAAGCAUGUAGAGCAGAUCUCCUCGGAACUAGAAAACAAAACGAAGCAGCUUGAAUAUGCAUUACUGCACAAGGAAGAAAAGCAUGAAGCUCUCACAAUGAAAAUCCAAAUGCUCAAAGCUGAGAUAGAAAGGCUCACAGAAGAGAACUCAAACAUCACAAAACAGGAGGAAGAAAAAUUGAGAGGAGAUUUGGAACAAAUGAAGAAACUAAUUUCUGAAAAUCAGGUGCUCAUCCAGAAUUUGAAUGUUGAAAAGCAUGAUUUGGAGAAAAGAUUGGCUUCAUCAAAGCAGGAAUCAGUGAAAACGCAUGAAGAGCUUACUAACAUAAAGUCCUUGAAAGAUGAGAAGGAGACGGCAAUCACUCAUCUCAAGUCAGAAGUGGACAACCUGCGGACCCAGUACAAUGAGUCUAAGAGCACCUUGCGUAAGGAAGCAUUGGAAAAGGAAAACUUGAGUAAGCAAAUACUUCAGUUACAGGCUGGGUUAAAGAAAGAAGGAAGAACCAGCACUGCAGAGAAGAAGCUCAAGAAAUAUAAUGGACAAGCUGCUAUUUCUAGUAAUAACCAAAGGAAAUCUGAAGACUCUGCGGAGAGAGAGCGUAAUUAUAAGGACUUGCUGACUGAGUUGACAUUACUGAAAGAAAGAAACGCAUCCAUGGAAAAAGAACUGAAGGAGAUGGAAGAGAGAUAUUCAGAGGUAAGUCUCAGAUUUGCAGAGGUUGAAGGUGAAAGGCAACAACUUGUCAUGACUGUGCGUAACCUCAGAAGCAAUAAGAAGAACUAGAAUGCUCUGAGCUGUUUCACUUAGGCUACUGUACAGAAUGCAUAGUGAAGCAGGUUAUGCUGAGUUGCUGAGCACUGGAGCAAAGAUACAGGUGGGACUAUCGAACUACAGAAGAUAUCAAGAAAUAUUAUGUAUAAGAAUUUGACGAUUCUUCCGCCUGUUAUGGCUCUCCAAUUUAAUUUAAUACAGAAUCACCAAAAAUAAAGUCUAGCUACAGUACUACAUUCUUUUGCAUCAAGCAAGCUCCACUCAUUUAUUUAUGAAAAGUUGAUAACUGCUACGAUUUUGUUGCAUUCACAUGUGAUUAGGCUCGAAUUAAGCAUGUAAAACAAUAUGUGGAAGGGAAAGUAUUGGAUUCGACUUCUCAGAUAUUACAC
Molecule: RNA transcript, 3403 nt
Organism: Fragaria vesca subsp. vesca
Lineage: Eukaryota; Viridiplantae; Streptophyta; Magnoliopsida; Rosales; Rosaceae
Exons: 7
Source: RefSeq, a predicted model, not a curated record